Molecule: ribosomal RNA, 500 nt
Filed under: uncultured bacterium
Lineage: Bacteria
Description: partial 16S ribosomal RNA
Rfam family: Bacterial small subunit ribosomal RNA
Source: RNAcentral
AUUGAACGCUGGCGGCAGGCUUAACACAUGCAAGUCGAGCGGGGGAAGGUAGCUUGCUACCGGACCUAGCGGCGGACGGGUGAGUAAUGCUUAGGAAUCUGCCUAUUAGUGGGGGACAACAUCUCGAAAGGGAUGCUAAUACCGCAUACGUCCUACGGGAGAAAGCAGGGGAUCUUCGGACCUUGCGCUAAUAGAUGAGCCUAAGUCAGAUUAGCUAGUUGGUGGGGUAAAGGCCUACCAAGGCGACGAUCUGUAGCGGGUCUGAGAGGAUGAGCCGCCACACUGGGACUGAGACACGGCCCAGACUCCUACGGGAGGCAGCAGUGGGGAAUAUUGGACAAUGGGGGGAACCCUGAUCCAGCCAUGCCGCGUGUGUGAAGAAGGCCUUAUGGUUGUAAAGCACUUUAAGCGAGAGGAGGCCACUUUAGUUAAUACCUAGAGAUAGUGGACGUUACUCGCAGAAUAAGCACCGGCAAACUCUGUGCCAGCCGCCGCCGUAA